UACGUAGGGGGCAAGCGUUAUCCGGAUUUACUGGGUGUAAAGGGAGCGUAGACGGCAGAGCAAGUCUGAAGUGAAAGCCCGCGGCCCAACUGCGGGACUGCUUUGGAAACUGCCCGGCUAGAGUGCUGGAGAGGUAAGCGGAAUUCCUAGUGUAGCGGUGAAAUGCGUAGAUAUUAGGAGGAACACCAGUGGCGAAGGCGGCUUACUGGACAGUAACUGACACUGAGGCUCGAAAGCGUGGGGAGCAAACAGG
Molecule: ribosomal RNA, 253 nt
Filed under: uncultured bacterium
Lineage: Bacteria
Description: partial 16S ribosomal RNA
Rfam family: Bacterial small subunit ribosomal RNA
Source: RNAcentral